CACGUAGGCGGCUUUGUAAGUCGGAUGUGAAAGCCCUAGGCUUAACCAAGGAACUGCAUUCGAAACUGCAAAGCUUGAGUACGGGAGAGGGUUGUGGAAUUCCCGGUGUAGAGGUGAAAUUCGUAGAUAUCGGGAGGAACACCAGUGGCGAAGGCGACAGCCUGGACCGAUACUGACGCUGAGGUGCGAAAGCGUGGGGAGCAAACA
RNAcentral lists this ribosomal RNA (207 nucleotides) under uncultured bacterium. RNAcentral's name for it is "partial 16S ribosomal RNA". It matches the Rfam family "Bacterial small subunit ribosomal RNA", at positions 568 to 774 of the family's 1533-position model. The record is from RNAcentral.